CCUACGGGCGGCUGCAGUAGGGAAUUUUGCGCAAUGGGCGAAAGCCUGACGCAGCCACGCCGCGUGAUCGAGACGCCCUUCGGGGUGUAAAGAUUUGUCAGUGGGGACGAAACUUGACGGUACCCACAGAGGAAGCACCGGCUCACUCCGUGCCAGCAGCCGCGGUACUACGGGGGGUGCAAGCGUUGUCCGGAAUCAUUGGGCGUAAAGCGUUCGUAGGCGGCACGGAAAGUCUGGUGUGAAAGGCAGAGGCUCAACUUCUGUACGGCACUUGAUACUUGCGAGCUAGAAUGCGGUAGAGGUAAAGGGAAUGCCUGGUGUAGCGGUGAAAUGCUUAGAUAUCAGGAAGAACAUCGGUUGCGUAAGCGCUUUACUGGGCCGUAAUUGACGCUGAGGAACGAAAGCGAGGGUAGCAAAUGGGAUUAGAUACCCCGGUAGUC
RNAcentral lists this ribosomal RNA (440 nucleotides) under uncultured bacterium. Its description in RNAcentral is "partial 16S ribosomal RNA". It matches the Rfam family "Bacterial small subunit ribosomal RNA", at positions 338 to 795 of the family's 1533-position model. The record is from RNAcentral.